GAUGAAGAACGUAGCGAAAUGCGAUAAGUAAUGUGAAUUGCAGAAUUCAGUGAAUCAUCGAAUCUUUGAACGCACCUUGCACUCCUUGGUAUUCCGAGGAGUACGCCUGUUCGAGUGUUAUGAAGCUCUCAAAACGCAAUUGGCUUAAAACCUGAUUGUUGUUUUGGAUUUGAACUUUGCCGUGUUAUAACGGCUGGUUUUAAAAGUAUUAGCUGGUACUAGAACGAAUUGGUUCUACUCAACGUGAUAAUUAUCUGAUCGUUGAGGACAUUCCUUUCACGAGGAAUGGCCAUAGUAAAUUCAAUGGACUGCUUCUAAUCUGGCGUUAAUUCUUUAUUGGAUUAACCACUUUUCAAAUCUGACCUCGAAUCAGGUGGGACUACCCGCUGAACUUAAGCAUAUCAAUAAGCGGAGGA
This 416-nucleotide unclassified non-coding RNA is filed under the name soil metagenome. Its description in RNAcentral is "partial contains 5.8S ribosomal RNA, internal transcribed spacer 2, and large subunit ribosomal RNA". The stretch from base 1 to 120 matches the Rfam family "5.8S ribosomal RNA", at positions 35 to 154 of the family's 154-position model. The record is from RNAcentral.